AUAUAGGAUAAUGGGUGCAACCCUGAUCCAGCCAUGCCGCGUGUGUGAAGAAGGUCGUCGGAUUGUAAAGCACUUUAAGUUGGGAGGAAGGGCUUUAGGUUAAUACCUUGAAGUUUUGACGUUACCAACAGAAUAAGCACCGGCUAACUCUGUACCAGCAGCCGCGGUAAUACAGAGGGUGCAAGCGUUAAUCGGAAUUAAUGGGCGUAAAGCGCGGGUAGGUGGUUCAGUAAGAUGGGUGUGAAAUGCCCUGGCUUAACCUGGGAACUGCUUUCAUAACUGCUGAGCUAGGAUACGGUAGGAGGUAGUUGAAUUUCCUGUGUAGCGGUGAAAUGCGUAGAUAUAGGAAGGAACACCAGUGGCGAAGGCGACUACCUGGACUGAUACUGACACUGAGGUGCGAAAGCGUGGGGAGCAAACAG
Molecule: ribosomal RNA, 422 nt
Filed under: uncultured bacterium
Lineage: Bacteria
Description: partial 16S ribosomal RNA
Rfam family: Bacterial small subunit ribosomal RNA
Source: RNAcentral